This 253-nucleotide ribosomal RNA is filed under the name uncultured bacterium. RNAcentral describes it as "partial 16S ribosomal RNA". It matches the Rfam family "Bacterial small subunit ribosomal RNA", at positions 524 to 776 of the family's 1533-position model. The record is from RNAcentral.
UACGAAGGGUGCAAGCGUUACUCGGAAUUACUGGGCGUAAAGCGUGCGUAGGUGGUUUUUUAAGUCCGUUGUGAAAGCCCUGGGCUCAACCUGGGAAUGGCAGUGGAUACUGGAAAGCUAGAGUGCGGUAGAGGGUAGUGGAAUUCCCGGUGUAGCAGUGAAAUGCGUAGAGAUCGGGAGGAACACCAGUGGCGAAGGCGGCUACCUGGACCAGCACUGACACUGAGGCACGAAGGCCAGGGGAGCAAACGGG